AACGAACGCUGGCGGCAUGCCUAACACAUGCAAGUCGAACGAGGUUUCCACUUCGGUGGUUUCCUAGUGGCGCACGGGUGAGUAACGCGUGGGAACCUGCCUUGUGGUACGGAAUAACUCCGGGAAACUGGAGCUAAUACCGUAUGUGUCCUGUGGGACAAAGAUUGCAUCGCCAUGGGAGGGGCCCGCGUAGGAUUAGCUGGUUGGUGGGGUAACGGCCUACCAAGGCAACGAUCCUUAGCUGGUCGAGAGGAUGAUCAGCCACACUGGGACUGAGACACGG
This 283-nucleotide ribosomal RNA is filed under the name uncultured bacterium. RNAcentral describes it as "partial 16S ribosomal RNA". It matches the Rfam family "Bacterial small subunit ribosomal RNA", at positions 29 to 329 of the family's 1533-position model. The record is from RNAcentral.